ACCUAAAGAAUUUGGCGGUGUUUUAGUCUUAUCAGAGGAAUUUGUUUCAUAAUCGAUAUUCCACGUUUUAUCUUUCUUUAUUUUGUUUAUCAGUAUGUAUAUCUCCGUUAUAAGUUUAUUUUUAUAGAAUUAUUUACUUUAUAUUAUAUUAGAUAUUAUUUCAGGUCAAGGUGCAGCUAAUAAUAAAGUGUAAAUGGAUUACAAUAUAUUUUGUAUAUAAUGAAUAUAAUUUUUAUAAUUUUAUUGAAAGUGGAUUUGUUAGUAAUUUUAUUUAUAUUGGUUUUUUGAUUUUAGCUCUAAAAUGAGUACACAUCGCCCG
Molecule: ribosomal RNA, 319 nt
Filed under: Phenacephorus sepilokensis
Lineage: Eukaryota; Metazoa; Arthropoda; Insecta; Phasmatodea; Lonchodidae
Description: partial small subunit ribosomal RNA
Source: RNAcentral